GCCGUGCUCUAUAUGAAGUAGGUGCUUUGAGAUUUAUGCUCCCUUCCAUGCAUAGAUUAGCUGAAAUUUCUCUCUCAAUAAAUACUGUAUGGUAGAAAUACCCAACACAAAACCCUAGCCAUCAUCUAAGCUUGCCUUCCGGCCGCUCCAAGCCUCCCACUUGAUUGGGACUCCUAAGGAUGGGAAAAUAGAGGAAGAAUGGGAAAAACAUGGGUAAAAUCAACGAAAGCAAAGAAAAGAUGGAAAAAAAGGUAAGAUCUUCCCUCACAUAAAUAAUCAUUUUUUUCUUUUUUGCUUAUCUUUUCUCUUCCUUUCAUUAUCUUUUUUAGAAAUCUGUG
This 338-nucleotide long non-coding RNA is filed under the name Elaeis guineensis (African oil palm). Its description in RNAcentral is "long non-coding RNA (EGUI_LNC040433)". Lineage: Eukaryota; Viridiplantae; Streptophyta; Magnoliopsida; Arecales; Arecaceae. The record is from RNAcentral.